UGCGGGGUGGAGCAGCCUGGUAGCUCGUCGGGCUCAUAACCCGAAGGUCGUUGGUUCAAAUCCAGCCCCCGCUACCA
RNAcentral lists this transfer RNA (77 nucleotides) under Teredinibacter turnerae. RNAcentral's name for it is "tRNA-Met". It matches the Rfam family "tRNA". From Rfam's summary of the family: Transfer RNA (tRNA) molecules are approximately 80 nucleotides in length. Their secondary structure includes four short double-helical elements and three loops (D, anti-codon, and T loops). Further hydrogen bonds mediate the characteristic L-shaped molecular structure. tRNAs have two regions of fundamental functional importance: the anti-codon, which is responsible for specific mRNA codon recognition, and the 3' end, to which the tRNAs corresponding amino acid is attached (by aminoacyl-tRNA synthetases). tRNAs cope with the degeneracy of the genetic code in two manners: having more than one tRNA (with a specific anti-codon) for a particular amino acid; and 'wobble' base-pairing, i.e. permitting non-standard base-pairing at the 3rd anti-codon position. The record is from RNAcentral. RNAcentral also lists the same sequence under 98 other names. Lineage: Bacteria; Pseudomonadati; Pseudomonadota; Gammaproteobacteria; Cellvibrionales; Cellvibrionaceae.